Molecule: RNA transcript, 4174 nt
Organism: Erinaceus europaeus (western European hedgehog)
Lineage: Eukaryota; Metazoa; Chordata; Mammalia; Eulipotyphla; Erinaceidae
Gene: GLDC
Gene name: glycine decarboxylase
Exons: 26
Source: RefSeq, a predicted model, not a curated record
AGGUGCGGCGUGCAGGAGCACAAGUUUCCCGGACGGGACCCAUUCAUUGCCUCGGAGCGGCUGUUCCUCGGUCCCGGUGGCCGUCCAGCGGGAAGGGAUCUGGGUCCACGGGGCCGAGAGUGCACCUCGUCAUCGGUGGCUGGAGCUGGGGCCCGGGGUCGCGACUAUGCAGACCUGCGCCCGAACCUGGGGGAUGCGGCUGGGUUGUGGAGUAGGGGGCGGCCGUCGCUUGGCAGGAGGUGCGGGCCCGCGGUGGGCGCCUCGCGGCCGGGAGCGCAGCAGCGGCGGUGGAGGGGGCGGCGGCGGGAGCGGGGCCUCGCGCCUCCUGGAGCGCCUCCUGCCCAGACACGACGACUUCGCACGGAGGCACAUCGGGCCUGGGGACAAAGACCAGAGGGAGAUGCUUCAGGCCCUGGGGCUGGCGAGUAUUGAUGAACUGAUCGAGAAGACGGUCCCCGUCAGCAUCCGCUUGAAAAGACCCCUGAAAAUGGAAGACCCUAUUUGUGAAAAUGAAAUCCUUUCGACUCUGCAUGCCAUUUGCAGCAAAAAUCAGAUCUGGAGAUCAUACAUUGGCAUGGGCUAUUAUAAUUGCUCAGUGCCACAGACAAUAUUGCGGAACUUACUGGAGAAUGCAGGAUGGAUCACCCAGUAUACACCUUAUCAGCCAGAGGUAUCUCAGGGGAGACUGGAAAGUUUACUCAAUUAUCAGACCAUGGUAUGUGACAUCACAGGCAUGGACAUGGCUAAUGCAUCUCUGUUGGAUGAGGCAACUGCUGCUGCAGAGGCCAUGCAACUGUGCUACAGACACAACAAGAGGAGGAAAUUCUUUGUUGACCCUCGGUGCCACCCACAGACAAUAGCUGUCAUCCAGACUCGAGCCAAGUUUACUGGAGUCCUCAUUGAGCUGAAACUGCCCCAUGAAAUGGAUUUCAGUGGAAAAGAUGUCAGUGGAGUGCUAUUCCAGUACCCUGACACUGAGGGGAAGGUGGAAGACUUUACGGAACUCGUGGAGAGAGCUCACCAAGCUGGAAGUCUGGUCUGUUGUGCUACUGACCUGCUUGCUCUGUGUAUAUUAAAGCCUCCUGGAGAAUUUGGCGCAGAUAUUUCCCUGGGUAGCUCACAGAGAUUUGGGGUGCCUCUGGGCUAUGGAGGUCCACAUGCAGCCUUUUUUGCUGUCAGAGAAAGCUUGGUGAGAAUGAUGCCUGGAAGGAUGGUGGGGGUAUCAAGAGAUACCACAGGGAAAGAAGUAUAUCGUCUUGCUCUUCAAACCAGAGAGCAACACAUCCGAAGAGACAAAGCUACCAGCAACAUCUGUACAGCUCAAGCUCUCUUGGCAAAUAUGGCUGCCAUGUUUGCAAUCUACCAUGGUUCCCGUGGACUGGAACAUAUUGCUAGGAGGGUACAUAAUGCCACUUUGAUUUUGUCUGAAGGUCUCAAGCGUGCAGGGCACCAACUACAGCAUGAAUUAUUCUUUGACACUUUAAAGAUUCAGUGUGGCUGUUCAGUGAAGGAAGUCUUGGAAAGGGCUGCUCAGCGCCAAAUCAAUUUUAGACUUUUUGAUGAUGGCACACUUGGAAUCUCUCUUGAUGAAACAGUUAACGAAAAAGAUCUGGAUGAUUUAUUAUGGAUCUUUGGCUGUGAGUCAUCUGCUGAGCUGGUUGCUGAAAGCAUGGGUGAAGAGUGGAGAGGUAUUACAGGGACUGCUUUCAAGAGAAGCAGCCCAUUCCUCACACACCAGGUGUUCAACAGCUACCACUCAGAAACAAAUAUAGUUCGAUAUAUGAAGAAAUUGGAAAACAAAGAUAUUUCUCUUGUUCACAGCAUGAUUCCACUGGGGUCCUGUACCAUGAAGCUUAACAGUUCAUCUGAACUUGCACCUAUCACAUGGAAUGGAUUUGCAAACAUUCACCCCUUUGUGCCUCUGGACCAAGCUCAAGGGUACCAGCAGCUUUUCCGAGAGCUUGAGAAGGACUUGUGUGAACUCACUGGUUAUGACAGAAUCUCUUUCCAGCCUAACAGCGGAGCCCAAGGAGAAUAUGCUGGGCUGACCACGAUCCGAGCUUACUUAGACGGGAAAGGAGAGAGACACAGAACCGUUUGUCUCAUUCCAAAAUCAGCACAUGGCACCAACCCUGCAAGUGCCCAAAUGGCAGGCAUGAAAAUCCAGCCAGUGGAAGUGGAUAAGUACGGGAGUAUUGACACAGCUCACCUCAAGGCCAUGGUGGAUAAACACAAGGGUAAUCUGGCAGCAAUUAUGAUUACAUACCCAUCCACUAAUGGAGUGUUUGAAGAGAACAUCAGCGACGUGUGUGAUCUGAUCCACCAACAUGGAGGACAAGUCUACUUAGAUGGGGCAAACAUGAAUGCUCAGGUGGGACUCUGCCGUCCUGGAGACUUUGGGUCUGAUGUCUCACACCUAAAUCUUCAUAAAACCUUCUGCAUUCCCCAUGGAGGAGGCGGUCCUGGCAUGGGACCCAUUGGAGUGAAGAAGCAUCUUGCCCCUUUUCUGCCCAGUCAUCCCAUCAUUUCAUUAAAGUCAAAUGAGGAUGCCCAGCCUGUGGGUACCAUCAGCGCCGCCCCUUGGGGCUCCAGUUCCAUCUUACCCAUUUCAUGGGCUUAUAUUAAGAUGAUGGGAGGCAAAGGCCUUAAACAGGCCACAGAAAUUGCUGUAUUAAAUGCCAACUACAUGGCCAAGCGAUUAGAAAAACACUACCGAAUCCUUUUCAGGGGAGCAAGAGGUUAUGUGGCUCAUGAAUUUAUUUUGGACACAAGACCUUUCAAAAAGUCUGCAAAUAUUGAGGCUGUGGAUGUGGCUAAGAGGCUUCAGGAUUACGGAUUUCAUGCACCUACUAUGUCCUGGCCAGUGGCAGGAACUCUCAUGAUUGAGCCCACAGAGUCAGAAGACAAGGCAGAGCUGGACAGAUUCUGUGAUGCCAUGAUCAGCAUUCGGCAGGAAAUUGCUGAUAUUGAGGAGGGCCGCAUGGAUUCCAGGGUCAAUCCACUGAAGAUGUCUCCACACUCCCUGACCUGUGUCACAUCCUCCCACUGGGAUCGGCCAUAUUCACGAGAGGUGGCAGCAUUCCCACUUCCCUUUGUGAAACCAGACAACAAAUUCUGGCCAACCAUUUCCCGGAUUGAUGACAUCUAUGGAGAUCAGCACCUGGUUUGUACCUGCCCACCCAUGGAAGUAUAUGAGUCUCCAUUUUCUGAGCAGAAGCGAGCCUCUUCUUAGUCUCCUUUUCUGAAGUUCGAGUGACUCAUCUGAAACCUUUUUCCAGAGCAUUUCAUAACCACCAGGUUCCAGAUGCUACCAUGAUGCCAACCAGACUUCCCUGGGCAGAUGACCCCACCAAUGUGUCUUGGAGCCCCGCCUCACUAGGGAAAGAGAGGCAGGCUGGGAGUAUGGAUCAACCUGUCAAUGCCCAUGUUCAGCGGGGAAGCAAUUACAGAAGCUAUAGCUUCCAUCUUCUGCACCCCAUAAUGAUUCUGGGUCCAUACUCCUAGAGGGAUAAAGAAUAGGAAAGCUAUCAGGGAAGGGCAUGGGAUACAGAGUUCUGGUGGUGGGAAUUUUGUGGAGUUGUACCCUUCUUAUCCUAUGGUUUUUGUCAGUGUUUCCUUUAUAUAAAUAAAUAAAAGGAAUGAACAAAUGAAUGUCUUGAGAAGGGGGUACAUCUAUCUUUCUCUUUAACUCAUCACACUGAGGAUCAGAAAAAGCACUCAAAUGGGAAGGUCACCUAAUUCAGACCAACUAUGUCUUCCCUCCAAGGUUGAGGAUACAGGGAGCACAUUUCCAUUUAAUAAUUUCCCCCUCUGGAUUUACACAUGGGUCCUUUUCACUCUAAGCCUUGGAGAGAGUCCAAAUCUUGACCACCAGACUCAACAUUAAAGGGAAAAGGUUCCAGAUAUGAAUCAAUCAGAGAUGCAAGGGAGGAUAUCCCAGGAGCUUUCCCCAGCCAACAGAACAGGUAGAGUAUGGGUAUGCAGCUUGGGAAGCUCUUCAGCAACCUCUUCGCUUGACCAGGUUUCCUGGACACCCAGCUUCUCUAAAGUCACAAGUGAAGCAUGCAUAUCUAUGCAAUAUCAGAUUGCGAUAUGCAAAUACAAUAUGCAAAUACAGUGUGCAUAUCUAUGCAAUAUCAGAUUGCUAUAUGCAAAGAUUAGAAACUUGAUUGAA